UCUGCUUUAUAUAUAUACUCAUUUUCCAACUUGCUGUGUUGAAAUUUUUGCCUUUAUUAUUCAUUUAUAUGUUUAUUCUCUGCUGCUUAUAUAUUUAUUCAUAAUUUUGCUCUUGCUAGUUAUUUAGUUUUAUUCUAAACUGUUAUAAUGUGCUUAAUGCUGUGGUUGCUAUAUGCUUUACUUUAUUUAAUCAAAUGCAGACUGACACAAAUGAGUUGAAGUUAGAAUAUGUAAAGUACAGACCACUUUUAAAGUGAUGUUUAUUCCAAAUUAAGAAUGAAACACUUGUUUAAAAUUAUCUUUCCUUGUUUGUGUUUAU
Molecule: long non-coding RNA, 319 nt
Filed under: Mytilus galloprovincialis (Mediterranean mussel)
Lineage: Eukaryota; Metazoa; Mollusca; Bivalvia; Mytilida; Mytilidae
Source: RNAcentral